GGGUAAGGCUUCCGCUACAGGCCUUUGCCGUCGCUGAUUCAGACAGAAUGUUAACGGAGUUCUGAUUCAUCAAAUCUCUAAACAGAAUUAAGGCAUGGACGGGCUCCUAACAACAUCACACUCUCUAUUCAUGAAAGAUAAAGGACGCAAAACUGCUAUUGACAAACAUUGAUCCUGGGCCCUUUGAAGCAUUGCCCAGGGUUGCUUGUUGGCUUCAAAAGUUUUCUUUUAAAUCUCAUUACAUCAGGUUUUCUGCUUUUUAAUUAUUUUUUUUUUCUCCUUUCCUUGGAGUCUUUCUUUGAUCAAGAGGGUGAAGAAACCGUGAUGCUCAUAUCCGGGGCCGGUCCUCCCUGUGUUCUGUAUUUAGCUACCCUGGUUCCAGGUAAGGUUCCAUAAAGCAACGUUACCUCUCAAGCGUGGGUUCUCAGGAACACGCUUAUUGAUUUCUUUAAUAAGCAUCAUCUUGAGCUCUUGUAAUCACCUGACUGCCCACAGUAAUCUGUGUGAGGGCUCCGGGAAUCCUCCGGCCCGGGGCCGGCAUCCGGGUUCUGAAACCUUGCCGCCAGCUGAGGCGGGCGCUCGCCCGGGGCUCCUGCUCACCCAUGUGCCGUAACCUAUUUGGCACACGCAGGACCGCUCAGUGGCUGCUUCCACCUUUGGGAGACAGGUUGCCAGCCGCGAAGGGCCCCAUGGGUACCAGCCCCGGAAAAGGCCAAAGUCAAUGCCUCAGCCACCAGAUGUCCUUGAAGGACAAACCGAGUCCUAUCGUUUUUACCUCCUAAAUAACUCCAAAUUUGUCUUCUUUUCUCCACUUAUUUUCUCUCCAUUUCAGGCAGCCAUCAACUCGCUCCUGGUCAAUAUCCACCUGACCUCUAUGACACAGGUACACACCAGUCCCUUUUUCUGGAAAGUUCUCUGAACCCAUCCCGGUGUUCCCCUAAUCUUCACUCCCACCCUAACUCAGUUCUUAACUCCAACCCUCAUCACUCUUGAGCAAGUUUACUUGGUUAACUCACCCAGUCAGUGCAUCUUUCUGGUCUCAGCACAGACAUGCCUUCUUCAGAAGGCCUCGUGUGUUUUUCCUUCAUAGCGCUAACCAAGGUCAUGACUGCGGGCCUGUAUUACUAUUUCACGAAUCUUCAUUGCCCACUGUUCCCACCAGACCGAAAGCUCCUAAGGCAGGCGUUCUGUUUUGCUGGCCAUUGGAUUCCUGGCAUAGAUGGAUACCUGGCACUUGCCUGACCCAUGGUAGGUGUUCGUAUAUCUUAGAUGAAUAACCGCUUUAUUAAAGUGACAGUUGGAUCCUUAUUUAUUUAUUUAUUUAUUUACUCAUUUAUUUAUAUUUUUUUAAUGUUUAUUUAUUUUUGAAAGACAGAGAAACAGACAGAGCAUGAGCAGGGGAGGGGCAGAGAGAGAGAGAGAGAGAGAGAACCCGAAGUAGGCUCCAGUCUCCGAGCUGUCAGCACAGCUGGAUCCCGACACGGGGCACGAACCCACGAACCCACGAACCGCGAGAUCAUGACCCGAGCUGAAGUCAGUCGCUUGUCCGACUGAGCCACCCAGGGCCCCCUAAAGUGACAGUUGGAUACUUUAUAAUCAGGAUACCUCCAAUAGCAUAACCAGCUCGAUGUGAGAAACUAAAGUAUUUGUAAAAUUUCAAACACGCUUCAACUUGUUCACGAAGUUAAUAUCCAUCGAAUGUGCACCAGUGAUCUGCCGUGAGCCAGGCAUUGGCAAAGCAGGGACGGGGCAGGCAGAGAGAACUUCGCUCUCAAGGGGCACACGUUGCGUAAGUUAAUUUUUGGUUAGUGAUAAGUGUGAAAAAGAAUGAAACAGGUGAUGGACCAGAAAUCCUUGUGGGUGGGGGAUGUUUGCUGGGUGGGUCACCCGUGUGGCACUGAGGCCACUGCUGAUGGUUCUCUGACCACAGAGCAAGGGCCAAAGAGGCAGAGCACGGGGGGGGUCUGCUGUUUUCCACGUUUAAACUGCAGACCUCACGGCACCUGCACAGUUGGUUGUAAGUAGAAAUAGACAUUUUUAGGCAAGUCAAAUCACCGAAUCACUGAAGUGAUGCAGGCGUCUCUUUUCCCCUCCACAGCCUUGUGUGAACUCGUGACCCUCUGAUCUUGUGGAGUCUCAGAAAACCAGAAGCUUCUUUUCCUGGGUCAACAGGAAGUGACCUCAGCACGCUUGUAGUUCAUCUUUUUAAUACGGAUUAAUUUCCCUGACGUGUAGUCUCCCCUUUAUCUCAAGCAAAAAUUGAGCAAUUUUGCUCUCCGUGUAAUCACUGCAGGCCUCCCACAUAUUGUCUAUUUCCCCAAGGCUCUGUUAUCACAACAGUGUGGAAUUGAAUAAAUUUCGGCACAUGGCCCUAAAGGAGAGAAUUCUCUAAAAAAAUGUGUAGUCCUUUGAAUUGAGGAAGACAAAAGGGUUAGCUUAUCGUGUAAUAUGUCUUUAUCUGGGGAGUUGGAACGGACCUCCCUGGGAUCUCUGUUUUUUUUGGUUUUUUUUUGUUUUUAAAUUCAAACACAGAGCCUUUAGUCCUCAUUCCCAUGUGGGUGUCUGAUGCUAUCGGGUCAAUCUAUUCUGUCCAAGUUCUGGGUGACAUUUUCUCAGGAGUUGGGUUCCAUCCCACUGGAGAGAGCCCCUAUCCUGCCUUGAGGGGGGGUGCCUUGGGACUCUGGUUCUCUGUGGGCUGAUUCUGCCACCCUAAGAAAAGACUUCCUCACGGUGACCUUGCCAGAGACCCACUCUUUGACGUACUGGUUAGGGAUUGUUUUUAUACAGCAACCAGCGGGUCUGAACCAACCUGUUCUGUGUUUAUUUGUAUUUACGUAACAACAGUCUUCUUCUUCCCGCUGGGCCUUCAGCAUGGGGUGGGGGGGUGUAGAAUGGGGGGGCGGGGGGCAGCCUAGAGGAGUACCUGUGAACAGCAGCUGGGACUCAAAACAGACCUGGGAGAGCCCCCACUCUGCCCACAUAUCCCCGCUGUGGGGCUUUGAGCCAGUCAUUUACGCUCUCCGGGCCUCAGUUUCCUCAUCUGUAAAGAGGGGAAAAUAUAGUUGCCCCUUCAUGGCAUUACUGAGAGGUGCACAUGAGAGCACAGAGGGAAGAUGCUUACUUAACUCAGUGGCCCCCAUAGAGUAGAUUUGCAGAGCAUGCUGGCUUUGAUAUCACUAACGUCUUUUUGUGGGAUGAAACUUGCUGAGCCCCCCAGACCCUCUGAGAUGAAAGGGCCCCGUGUUCAGUGAGUCUAGUCCCCAGCCCAGGGAAGGAAUGAACCCCUUCACGGAGGGGACCUUUGUCUCACGUGUUCCUUCUCGGACAGGGGUCAGCAACCUUUCCCGAAAGGACCAGAUAACGGAUAUGUUAGUUUUUUUCUGGCCGUGCAUUUCUGUCGUGACUGCUGGGUCCUGCCGCCGCGUCACCGAAGCAGCCACAGAGAAUGUUUAUGCCAGUGAGCGGGGCUGUGUUCCAAUAAAACAGUAUUUACAACACCGAUCCCGGAGAAAGUGACGGGACACAGCCAGAGCAUUGCACAACUUGAAGGGGCCCCUAUGGAGACACGUCGGAAGCCAGUGGAGGGGCCUGGGCUGAUGUGACACCACUGCCCUCAGAAAGUGUGCCCCCUGCUCCAGAAUCAUCAGAACUCUGUGGGGCAUGGGGACUAAGGACGUUUGCUCAUUUAUUCAUUCUGCAGGUAUUUAUUGGGCGCCUACAGCAUGCCUGUGCUGUAUGGGACAAAGAAGAUGGGUCAGGUGCCAGCCUCAUGAAGUUACAUUCUCAUGAUGAGCUUCACUCAGAUUCACGUGACUGGGCUUCCAUUAAAUUCAGAAAGGCUUCCCAGGGCGCCUGGGUGGCUCAGUCAGUUGAGCGUAUGACUUGGUUUUGGCUCAGGUCACGAUCUCCCGGUUUAGUGAGUUCGAGCCCCACGUCUGGCUCUGUGCUGGCCGUGUGGAGCCUGCUUGGGAUUCUCUCUCUCU
Molecule: long non-coding RNA, 3983 nt
Filed under: Lynx pardinus (Iberian lynx)
Lineage: Eukaryota; Metazoa; Chordata; Mammalia; Carnivora; Felidae
Source: RNAcentral